RNAcentral lists this long non-coding RNA (268 nucleotides) under Ananas comosus (pineapple). RNAcentral describes it as "long non-coding RNA (ACOM_LNC024186)". Lineage: Eukaryota; Viridiplantae; Streptophyta; Magnoliopsida; Poales; Bromeliaceae. The record is from RNAcentral.
UAAAUAAAAAAGAGGGAAAACUUUAAAUACCACCCUGUGAUUUUAUUUUUAUUCUUUUAUUAUCGAUUCCACUAAUUUUUUUUGUUAAAUCAGUGAUAAAGUUAAAACUAAAGGAUAUUAAAGUGAAUAUUCGAUAAACCUAGGUGCGGUAUCUGAAAUUUUUUUGUAUAUAAUUUAACAAAAUAUUAACAAAGAAGCCGACGAAAAGAAAAAAAGAAACCACAAUACACUAACUCGAUACACUUUAAACUACAAGAUACUAAAGUGA